GGUGCACAAAAUUCCUGGAGGAAGCGCAGCCAGAACAUCUGGCCUGAACUGGCCGAAAGGAUAUUCCAUACCUCAAAACACCAAGCUCAGUACAUGAACUGGGCUCUACACAGCAGCAGAAAACGCCUCCCGACAGCCUUUCAACCACCCCACAGUUCUGUAAAGCCAUGGGAGCUGGUCCUGCCGCCAGCCUGAGGAUGCCUGUGCCCAUGAGGCAGCGUAGUCAGCAGCCUCCAGAGAUCACCAGCUGGAAACCAGGCAUGUUACAGACUGGAGACAUUCCUGGGAGAAGGCAGAUCAAUGUGUGCAGCACCUGCUGGCAAUUUGCCUGGCUUCGGCCAAAGGGAAAAUGUCACCCACAGAGAAGUCCAGAUUCAUGCAGGCUUACAAGGAUCUCCUAAGAGUCACUAGAUAAAAUGUAGGAAAU
This is a long non-coding RNA of Corvus hawaiiensis (hawaiian crow), 427 nucleotides long. RefSeq lists it as uncharacterized. Lineage: Eukaryota; Metazoa; Chordata; Aves; Passeriformes; Corvidae. The transcript is spliced from 3 exons. The record is from RefSeq and is a predicted model, not a curated record.